RNAcentral lists this small nuclear RNA (107 nucleotides) under Tupaia belangeri (northern tree shrew). The record is from RNAcentral. Lineage: Eukaryota; Metazoa; Chordata; Mammalia; Scandentia; Tupaiidae.
GUGCUCGCUUUAACAGCACAUAUACUAAAACUGGAACAAUACAGGGAAGAUUAGCAUGGCCGCUGCACAAAGAUGACAUGCAAAUUCAUGAAGAGUUCCAUAUUUUC